UUUAUGGAGAGUUUGAUCCUGGCUCAGGAUGAACGCUGGCGGCGUGCCUAAUACAUGCAAGUCGAGCGAACGGAUGAGAAGCUUGCUUCUCUGAUGUUAGCGGCGGACGGGGGAGUAACACGUGGAUAACCUACCUAUAAGACUGGGAUAACUUCGGGAAACCGGAGCUAAUACCGGAUAAUAUUUUGAACCGCAUGGUUCA
This 202-nucleotide ribosomal RNA is filed under the name Staphylococcus aureus. RNAcentral describes it as "partial 16S ribosomal RNA". It matches the Rfam family "Bacterial small subunit ribosomal RNA", at positions 1 to 197 of the family's 1533-position model. The record is from RNAcentral. Lineage: Bacteria; Bacillati; Bacillota; Bacilli; Caryophanales; Staphylococcaceae.